RNAcentral lists this ribosomal RNA (492 nucleotides) under uncultured bacterium. RNAcentral's name for it is "partial 16S ribosomal RNA". It matches the Rfam family "Bacterial small subunit ribosomal RNA", at positions 30 to 507 of the family's 1533-position model. The record is from RNAcentral.
AUUGAACGCUGGCGGUAUGCCUAACACAUGCAAGUCGAACGGCAGCGCAGUAAGAGCUUCUUCUUACGGGUGGCGAGUGGAGGGCGGGUGUAAUAUACCGCGGCAUCUACUUUUUCGUGGGGGAUCACGCAGGGAGACUUACGCUAAUACCACAUACGACCUACGGGAGAAAGCAGGACCUCUUAGUACCUUGCGCGAUUUUAUGAGCCGAUGUCGGAUUAGCUAGUUGGCGGGGUAAAGGCUCACCAAGGCGAAGAUCCGUAGCUGGUCUGAGAGGAUGAUCCGCCACACUGGAACUGAGACACGGCCCAGACUCCUACGGGAGGCAGCAGUGGGGAAUUUUGGACAAUGGGCGCAAGCCUGAUCCAGCCAUGCCGCGUGGGUGAAGAAGGCCUUCGGGUUGUAAAGUACUUUUGUUAGGAAAGAAAAGUAGGAGGUGAAUACUCGGCUGUUCUGACGGUACCUAAAGAAUAAGCACCGGCUAACUUCGUG